UACGUAGGUGGCAAGCGUUGUCCGGAUUUACUGGGCGUAAAGAGCGCGCAGGCGGUCGUUCAAGUCGCGUGUGAAAGCCCCCGGCUCAACUGGGGAGGGUCACGCGAUACUGAUCGACUCGAAGGCAGGAGAGGGUAGUGGAAUUCCCGGUGUAGUGGUGAAAUGCGUAGAUAUCGGGAGGAACAUCAGUGGCGAAGGCGGCCAUCUGGGACAACACUGACGCUGAGGCACGAAAGCGUGGGGAGCAAACAGG
This 253-nucleotide ribosomal RNA is filed under the name uncultured bacterium. RNAcentral's name for it is "partial 16S ribosomal RNA". It matches the Rfam family "Bacterial small subunit ribosomal RNA", at positions 524 to 776 of the family's 1533-position model. The record is from RNAcentral.